GUCAGGUCAUACACUCGUACCUGGUGGGAGAAGAGAGUGAAGAAGAAGCUUGGGGACAAAAGGACCCUGCUGGGGCCACCGUGGGAGCACUGGAGUAACCCACGUUCCUUCCUCCUACAUGUUCCACCAGGUCAGCCGUAGUGUGCAGAAUAGCCUUCCCAGUGAGCAGAACUUGCCUCAAGAGGUCACACAGUCAGUGAGAGACUCACACCCGUGCCAGUCCCCAGACGCCCAAACUCGAUUCCGUCUGAUGAACCAAGCUAAUUUGUCGGGAUGGUG
Herpailurus yagouaroundi (jaguarundi) is the source of this 279-nucleotide long non-coding RNA. RefSeq lists it as uncharacterized. The record is from RefSeq and is a predicted model, not a curated record. The transcript is spliced from 3 exons. Lineage: Eukaryota; Metazoa; Chordata; Mammalia; Carnivora; Felidae.